UACGGAAGGGGCAAGCGUUGUUCGGAAUCAUUGGGCGUAAAGGGCGCGUAGGCGGCCUUCUAAGUCGAACGUGAAAUCCCCGGGCUCAACCCGGGAACUGCGUCCGAUACUGGAAGGCUUGAAUCCGGGAGAGGGAUGUGGAAUUCCAGGUGUAGCGGUGAAAUGCGUAGAUAUCUGGAGGAACACCGGUGGCGAAGGCGACAUCCUGGACCGGUAUUGACGCUGAGGCGCGAAAGCCAGGGGAGCAAACGGG
RNAcentral lists this ribosomal RNA (253 nucleotides) under uncultured bacterium. RNAcentral's name for it is "partial 16S ribosomal RNA". It matches the Rfam family "Bacterial small subunit ribosomal RNA", at positions 524 to 776 of the family's 1533-position model. The record is from RNAcentral.